CAAUAGCGUAUAUUUAAGUUGUUGCAGUUAAAAAGCUCGUAGUUGGAUUUCGGGUGUGAACGACCGGCCCGUCUUUGAUGUGUACUGGUUGGUUGCGCCUUAUUGUCGAGGACGUGGUUCUAGCUUUCAUUAGCCGGGACACGGAGUCGGCAGCGUUACUUUGAGAAAAUUAGAGUGUUCAAAGCAGGCUAUCGCUCUGAAUACUACAGCAUGGAAUAACACGAUAGGACUCCGAGCCUAUUCUGUUGGUCUUCGGGACCGGAGUAAUGAUUAAGAGGGACAGUUGGGGGCAUUCGUAUUCCGAUGUCAGAGGUGAAAUUCUUGGAUUAUCGGAAGACGAACAUCUGCGAAAGCAUUUGCCAAGGAUGUUUUCAUUAA
Molecule: ribosomal RNA, 378 nt
Filed under: uncultured eukaryote
Lineage: Eukaryota
Description: partial 18S ribosomal RNA
Rfam family: Eukaryotic small subunit ribosomal RNA
Source: RNAcentral